This is a long non-coding RNA of Gorilla gorilla gorilla (western lowland gorilla), 337 nucleotides long. RefSeq lists it as uncharacterized. The record is from RefSeq and is a predicted model, not a curated record. The transcript has 4 exons. Lineage: Eukaryota; Metazoa; Chordata; Mammalia; Primates; Hominidae.
GCUUGGUGGGUCACUCCUGUAAUCCCAGCACUUUGGGAGGCCAAGACGGGCAGAGGGCAGAUCACUUGAGUAUCUCAUUCCUGAGAUGUGACCGAGCCCAUCCUCGCUGAUAUAGCCCCUCCGUCCAGAGAGCACAUACUCUUCUUGGGGGAUUUCUGCUUUUGCAUCCUCCUCUCUUCACUUGCCACCACCAUAUAAGAAGAGCCUUUCACCUCCCGCCAUGAUUCUGAAGCUUCCCCAGCCAUGUGGAACUAUGAGGAAACUGGGACCAAGAGAAAUGAAAUGAAAUGAAAUUUUCCAGAGUCACAGAGCUGAAAAAGAGAACCUGGAUUCCAAG